GGGAUGGGGCUCACGGACCCCGGGAUCCCGCCCUCAGCCCUGAGGGAGCCGGGAACUGAGGGAGGGAUGGUUUCACUCAACGCCAGGCGGCCGCGGCAUUUCAUUUUUAUAAAUCUCGGUGUGCUCCUUGUAGCUUUUCCCUGCUAAGUCCAGGACCUGCUGUGCCAUCCCACCUGUCCUGGGUAGGUUUUGAACACCAGGUUUUUUUUCAGAACCCUUUGCCAAAAAGGGGUUUAAGCAGCACCUUUGUCACAGGUGAACUUAGACAAGAGUGAAUCACAGGAAAAUAACAAAUGCAAGGUAAAGAACAAAUCACAGGCUUCUUGGCAAGCACCAUCCUGAGCCCUCAGAGGCAUCCUCGUUUGUAUCUCCACAUAAAGGUGUUGUUCCAGAGAUCCCUGUGGAGGAGUAUGGCCGUUCCAGGGCAGCGCUUGCUGAGGGAGCAUCGUGAUUGAACUUGUGCAUCCUUCCAUGAAGAGGCUGAUGGAGCCUGAGAUGUGGUAUGAGCUCCCUGCCUUGGGCCAUGUCAUCUCCCAGCUGGCCCAUUUAGUAUCUGCCACCCCUCUGGCCUGCGUGACUGGAAAGUGGGAUCCCUUCUGGUGCUGAGAUGGAUCAGGCUGAAUCACCUUGUCCUGUUCCUCUGGGCUUUCCCAUGCCUGCUUACAGGCAUGCCUGCUCUCAGGGACUGUUUCUCUAAUGGCAUUUCUUGCACCAAAAGCAAGGUGUCCCUCCCUGCUCCCACACUUCAAGCAACAGUUCUGGCCCCUGAAGAGUCUUUUUUCCUGUAUUGAGGGGAUCAGCUCCAUUUCCCAGAGUGUUUCUGCUGGGAGACUCUGUGAGACUCAGUGACUGAUUUUCAAGUGCUGUUAGAGACAGAGCAUGGUGCACUUCUGCUGUGACAACCAGGGAUGCACCCACAGGCACCCUUGGCUGCUGUGAACUCUUUGCUUGGACUUGCUUCUUUGGAAAGAGGACAAAUACAAGUGAAUGGAGAAUGAUCUUGAUAAGACUGUCUUCCAAGAAAGGACAUAGAAAAAGCUACACAAACUGUUCAAAAACUGUAUUUCAAUGCUCUCUGCACUUCCCCCAAGUGGUCUUCCUCUCAGAGAAACAGAACAAGUGGAACUGCGCAGCAAUGGACCCGUGCAAGAGCCAAGCAGCCUCAGGACUUCCCAGUAGCCGCUGGAUCCCCUGCUCCGCAGCACACCGGCAGGGAGAGGAUGGGAGGAAUUGGGCUGCCGUAUUCCAAUCUUAGAUUUAAUCUUAAUCCUUGUAUCUAAACCGCAUCCGCUUGCACGUACCUGUCC
Parus major (Great Tit) is the source of this 1307-nucleotide long non-coding RNA. RefSeq lists it as uncharacterized. The transcript is spliced from 3 exons. The record is from RefSeq and is a predicted model, not a curated record. Lineage: Eukaryota; Metazoa; Chordata; Aves; Passeriformes; Paridae.